This is a non-coding RNA of Paramisgurnus dabryanus, 609 nucleotides long. The record is from RefSeq and is a predicted model, not a curated record. Lineage: Eukaryota; Metazoa; Chordata; Actinopteri; Cypriniformes; Cobitidae.
CUAACACUGUAUGCAAACAUGCAACAUCAUAACACACAGUACAAGGAGUCAGACAGGCAUAUGAGGAGCAAAGAAACCCACGCAGUAGCAUCGUUUCAAAAUGUUUCCAUCACCAUCAUCAGUGGAUGCCUUUGCCGUCCGUACCCUGAGAUUUCAGAUUUGCUGCAAAAAAUGUGACUUUCCCAUUUAUUGGAAUGCUGUGCAGCCAUCCAUUACAAUGUCACCAAGCCGUAACAAAAGCAGGAGAGGGAAAGUACAAGGCUAUGUUCCCAAAACACAAAAGUGACAUACUUUAUGUGGAUGAUGUGAUCAGGCUUGUGUUUGCUGAGGUAUUUGAAGAUAAGCUGAAGGAAACCCCGAUUCCAAUGGACCUGGCAUCACAGUUUGAGAGACCUUCAAAGGAGGACGUGAUUGCAUGCCAUCUUCAGUGCAGGGGUCGUCGGAAGCCAACAUUCCGAUCGGGAAGCUCCAAGCGUAUCUGGAGAACAACACACGACAGGAUGAUAACCCUAAAGUGUCAUCUUAGAUAGCAUCAGCUGACAAAGCUUUGAUAUGCCAUUUAUCUGAAUAGAUAGCUGUAAGAAGUGAAUUGAACAAUUUUUGAAAGAA